Molecule: ribosomal RNA, 2900 nt
Filed under: Klebsiella quasipneumoniae subsp. quasipneumoniae
Lineage: Bacteria; Pseudomonadati; Pseudomonadota; Gammaproteobacteria; Enterobacterales; Enterobacteriaceae
Description: 23S ribosomal RNA
Rfam family: Bacterial large subunit ribosomal RNA
Source: RNAcentral
UUAAGCGACUAAGCGUACACGGUGGAUGCCCUGGCAGUCAGAGGCGAUGAAGGACGUGCUAAUCUGCGAAAAGCGUCGGUAAGGUGAUAUGAACCGUUAUAGCCGGCGAUGUCCGAAUGGGGAAACCCAGUGCAAUUCGUUGCACUAUCGUUAACUGAAUACAUAGGUUAACGAGGCGAACCGGGGGAACUGAAACAUCUAAGUACCCCGAGGAAAAGAAAUCAACCGAGAUUCCCCCAGUAGCGGCGAGCGAACGGGGAGCAGCCCAGAGUCUGAAUCAGCUUGUGUGUUAGUGGAACGGUCUGGAAAGUCCGACGGUACAGGGUGAUAGUCCCGUACACCAAAAUGCACAGGUUGUGAACUCGAAGAGUAGGGCGGGACACGUGGUAUCCUGUCUGAAUAUGGGGGGACCAUCCUCCAAGGCUAAAUACUCCUGACUGACCGAUAGUGAACCAGUACCGUGAGGGAAAGGCGAAAAGAACCCCGGCGAGGGGAGUGAAAAAGAACCUGAAACCGUGUACGUACAAGCAGUGGGAGCACCUUUAUGGUGUGACUGCGUACCUUUUGUAUAAUGGGUCAGCGACUUAUAUUCUGUAGCAAGGUUAACCGUAUAGGGGAGCCGCAGGGAAACCGAGUCUUAACUGGGCGUUAAGUUGCAGGGUAUAGACCCGAAACCCGGUGAUCUAGCCAUGGGCAGGUUGAAGGUUGGGUAACACUAACUGGAGGACCGAACCGACUAAUGUUGAAAAAUUAGCGGAUGACUUGUGGCUGGGGGUGAAAGGCCAAUCAAACCGGGAGAUAGCUGGUUCUCCCCGAAAGCUAUUUAGGUAGCGCCUCGUGAACUCAUCGUUAAUAUUCCUGUACUUGGUGUUACUGCGAAGGGGGGACGGAGAAGGCUAUGUUAGCCGGGCGACGUACCGAAGAAUGUUAUCACGGGAGACACACGGCGGGUGCUAACGUCCGUCGUGAAGAGGGAAACAACCCAGACCGCCAGCUAAGGUCCCAAAGUCAUGGUUAAGUGGGAAACGAUGUGGGAAGGCACAGACAGCCAGGAUGUUGGCUUAGAAGCAGCCAUCAUUUAAAGAAAGCGUAAUAGCUCACUGGUCGAGUCGGCCUGCGCGGAAGAUGUAACGGGGCUAAACCAUGCACCGAAGCUGCGGCAGCGACGCUUAGGCGUUGUUGGGUAGGGGAGCGUUCUGUAAGCCUGCGAAGGUGACCUGUGAGGGUUGCUGGAGGUAUCAGAAGUGCGAAUGCUGACAUAAGUAACGAUAAAGCGGGUGAAAAGCCCGCUCGCCGGAAGACCAAGGGUUCCUGUCCAACGUUAAUCGGGGCAGGGUGAGUCGACCCCUAAGGCGAGGCCGAAAGGCGUAGUCGAUGGGAAACAGGUUAAUAUUCCUGUACUUGGUGUUACUGCGAAGGGGGGACGGAGAAGGCUAUGUUAGCCGGGCGACGGUUGUCCCGGUUUAAGCAUGUAGGCUGGUUAUCCAGGCAAAUCCGGAUAAUCAAGGCUGAGGUGUGAUGACGAGGUACUACGGUACUGAAGUAACAAAUGCCCUGCUUCCAGGAAAAGCCUCUAAGCAUCAGGUAACAUCAAAUCGUACCCCAAACCGACACAGGUGGUCAGGUAGAGAAUACCAAGGCGCUUGAGAGAACUCGGGUGAAGGAACUAGGCAAAAUGGUGCCGUAACUUCGGGAGAAGGCACGCUGGUGUGUAGGUGAAGUCCCUGCGGAUGGAGCUGAGACCAGUCGAAGAUACCAGCUGGCUGCAACUGUUUAUUAAAAACACAGCACUGUGCAAACACGAAAGUGGACGUAUACGGUGUGACGCCUGCCCGGUGCCGGAAGGUUAAUUGAUGGGGUUAUCCGUAAGGAGAAGCUCUUGAUCGAAGCCCCGGUAAACGGCGGCCGUAACUAUAACGGUCCUAAGGUAGCGAAAUUCCUUGUCGGGUAAGUUCCGACCUGCACGAAUGGCGUAAUGAUGGCCAGGCUGUCUCCACCCGAGACUCAGUGAAAUUGAACUCGCUGUGAAGAUGCAGUGUACCCGCGGCAAGACGGAAAGACCCCGUGAACCUUUACUAUAGCUUGACACUGAACAUUGAGCCUUGAUGUGUAGGAUAGGUGGGAGGCUUUGAAGCGUGGACGCCAGUCUGCGUGGAGCCAACCUUGAAAUACCACCCUUUAAUGUUUGAUGUUCUAACGUGGGCCCCUAAUCGGGGUUGCGGACAGUGUCUGGUGGGUAGUUUGACUGGGGCGGUCUCCUCCCAAAGCGUAACGGAGGAGCACGAAGGUUAGCUAAUCCUGGUCGGACAUCAGGAGGUUAGUGCAAUGGCAUAAGCUAGCUUGACUGCGAGCGUGACGGCGCGAGCAGGUGCGAAAGCAGGUCAUAGUGAUCCGGUGGUUCUGAAUGGAAGGGCCAUCGCUCAACGGAUAAAAGGUACUCCGGGGAUAACAGGCUGAUACCGCCCAAGAGUUCAUAUCGACGGCGGUGUUUGGCACCUCGAUGUCGGCUCAUCACAUCCUGGGGCUGAAGUAGGUCCCAAGGGUAUGGCUGUUCGCCAUUUAAAGUGGUACGCGAGCUGGGUUUAGAACGUCGUGAGACAGUUCGGUCUCAGAAGUGAAACGCCGUAGCGCCGAUGGUAGUGUGGGGUCUCCCCAUGUGAGACCGGAGUGGACGCAUCACUGGUGUUCGGGUUGUCAUGCCAAUGGCACUGCCCGGUAGCUAAAUGCGGAAGAGAUAAGUGCUGAAAGCAUCUAAGCACGAAACUUGCCCCGAGAUGAGUUCUCCCUGAGACUUUAAGUCUCCUGAAGGAACGUUGAAGACGACGACGUUGAUAGGCCGGGUGUGUAAGCGCAGCGAUGCGUUGAGCUAACCGGUACUAAUGAACCGUGAGGCUUAACCU